Molecule: ribosomal RNA, 253 nt
Filed under: uncultured bacterium
Lineage: Bacteria
Description: partial 16S ribosomal RNA
Rfam family: Bacterial small subunit ribosomal RNA
Source: RNAcentral
UACGUAGGGGGCAAGCGUUGUCCGGAAUCAUUGGGCGUAAAGCGCGCGUAGGCGGCCCGGUAAGUCCGCUGUAAAAGUCCAGGGCUCAACCCUGGAAAGCCGGUCGAUACUGCGGGUCUCGAGUCCGGGAGAGGUGAGUGGAAUUCCUAGUGUAGAGGUGAAAUUCGUAGAUAUUAGGAAGAACACCAGUGGCGAAGGCGGCUCACUGGCCCGGUACUGACGCUGAGGCGCGAAAGCGUGGGGAGCAAACAGG